AGAUAUGCAUUCUAAAGAAAGCAAGAGGAUUCAACCAGAAGUUCUGGGAGUCAAGAGUACUUUCAAAGGCACAGCCAGAGAAGAUGCCUCUCUUUGUCAAAGUGAUGAAGUGACCAGUGGAUGUUUUUCAAGCAGUGGCAGAUUGUUGGAUCCUGACUGCUUGUCACAGAGAACACAGAUGUUCAGUUCUGAGGAUGCAGAGAAGGAGUAA
RNAcentral lists this long non-coding RNA (211 nucleotides) under Phasianus colchicus (ring-necked pheasant). Its description in RNAcentral is "lncRNA (ENSPCLG00000000931.1)". The record is from RNAcentral. Lineage: Eukaryota; Metazoa; Chordata; Aves; Galliformes; Phasianidae.